UCCGCUUUUCUUUUCCUUAUCUUUUCGUCUCAUCCCAAUUAUUUUUCAUCUCCAUGAAUUUUACCAAAUAGGGCCGGCGUCUUCGUUCGUUCCUACUGCCUUUGUGCCGUUCUUUCCCAAAAAACACUUUCUUCAAUCAGUUAUCGGCCGCCUCCGUGUCUUUGCCGUUUAUCUGCAGUCUCCGAUGUUGAACUUCUCAAUCGUGGCUGCCCUAGAUGCAAGUCACGAUUCACGCAGCAGCAACACCUUCGGGCUUCGAAAUAGAGCCCUUGAAGCAACCGGCAGCAGACUGCGAACCUGAGAUAGUGGGACCUUGAGGGCUGAGUCUCCUUAACCUUCGAUUCGCGAUGCUAGCACCAGCACGGUAGCACAGCAGAAACUGCAGAAGGAGAAGGAUUAUAUCUCCAUGCUGUAUGUAAGACAGUUUGUGGUAGACACAUCAAGAGGAGAAAGACUUCGGACAAAUGUAGAAUCCAUUUCCUGUAAUUACUAUUUUUUGACAUCACACAGCUGAAAACUAUUGUGUUCCCAAUUUCAGUAAUCUCUCUUUUUCAUUGCCUUACUCUCUUUAAGUAUGUGUCGAACCUUUUCGAUUUUUAUUUCCUUCAUAAGCGUAACAUUUGUUACCCGAUUAUUACAAUUAUGUACCUCGUCUUUGGCUCA
Long non-coding RNA from Olea europaea var. sylvestris, 663 nucleotides. RefSeq lists it as uncharacterized. Lineage: Eukaryota; Viridiplantae; Streptophyta; Magnoliopsida; Lamiales; Oleaceae. The transcript has 2 exons. The record is from RefSeq and is a predicted model, not a curated record.